UUUUCCAUUAAUGGUAUAAAAGAAAUCAAAAAUGUGUGUAGCAUGAGUUGGACAUGACUGUAACCCAAAGAUUUAAUCUGCUUGCACCAACUGAAAACAGGUGGGGAACGUCAAUGAGUAAUGUGUUUCGUUCCCUGCAAAAACAUCACCAAGGUGGGGACACUCAACCUCUGCUUGUUCUAUUGGAGCCACUUGUGAUAAACAUUACAGGACUGUGGCUGCAGCAGUGUCCACUGCUGAGACUACAGUAGGAGUGUGAAACAGGCUGACAAACAUGUUCCCUCCAUCCUCCCAUCCCUCCUUUGAUACAAAAAAUAAAAACAUUUCACAUGUAAAAUGAAAGAUUCUCCCAUUCCCACAGUCUGCACUUCAGUGACUGUUUAGACCACAAACAACUUGGGUGUGGUGGCAUGACAGACUCAUCUGUUAAACGUAAAUUCGUUGAAUCACAGAACAGAGAUGGGUCUAUUAGACUGUUAAUAAUGCGAAUGGCCUCCGUGUUUACACAGCCUCUGCUAUCUAUGCGUAAAUAUUUAGCUAACAACUGUGGAAUUUAACGUAAAGAUUUGGUAUCAGCAUGGCAGGGAGGAGAUAAUGGUGAUCUACACGUUCUCCAUGCGAGAUUGGCAGAUUAACAGUUGGAAACCCCCUGAAAUCCUCUCAAGCUGUGAAUGAAAGUUGUCCAGAAUAGAGGCAGUAUGAAAAGCGGUUGUGGAAGGACGCAAUGGAACAUGAGCGAGAGGCAAUGGACAGGUUGAUGACUACAUACAGAGAGAUGCAGGACAGCCAGAACAACCUGCUGAUGAACUGCAUUCCCCUGCCUAUACCACUACAACCAGUGUAUUCACCACUUCACCAGCACCAAGGAUCCCCAUUGUAUCACAACACCAGUUACACUACUCCAGAGAGGGACCUAAUCUUCCGCCCCUCAUCCUCUUGUCGAGGAUGAGGAUUUUCUUUUUUACCAUUGCUGACAGUUGCAUUGAAGAUGUUGAUGAUCGACAUUCUAACAUUUUUAAUAUUUUAAAACAUAACAUUUUAACUUGUAAUUAACCUGUACUUUUCUCUAUUAUAUCAAUUGAAUAGAUAUGUAUAAGUUAUGUUAUAUAUAUAUUAACUUUAUUAGACAGUGAGCGCAU
This is a long non-coding RNA of Dicentrarchus labrax (European seabass), 1139 nucleotides long. RefSeq lists it as uncharacterized. Lineage: Eukaryota; Metazoa; Chordata; Actinopteri; Moronidae. The record is from RefSeq and is a predicted model, not a curated record. The transcript is spliced from 3 exons.